RNAcentral lists this ribosomal RNA (808 nucleotides) under Doratomyces sp. 795_3_CP04. RNAcentral describes it as "eukaryotic LSU rRNA". It matches the Rfam family "Eukaryotic large subunit ribosomal RNA", at positions 90 to 925 of the family's 3401-position model. The record is from RNAcentral. Lineage: Eukaryota; Fungi; Ascomycota; Sordariomycetes; Microascales; Microascaceae.
CGAGUGAAGCGGUAACAGCUCAAAUUUGAAAUCUGGUCCCCUCUGGGGGCCCGAGUUGUAAUUUGAAGAGGAUGCUUUUGGCGAGGCGCCUUCCGAGUGCCCUGGAACGGGACGCCACAGAGGGUGAGAGCCCCGUAUGGUAGGACGCCGAGCCUCUGUAAAGCUCCUUCGACGAGUCGAGUAGUUUGGGAAUGCUGCUCAAAAUGGGAGGUAAACCCCUUCUAAAGCUAAAUAUUGGCCAGAGACCGAUAGCGCACAAGUAGAGUGAUCGAAAGAUGAAAAGCACUUUGAAAAGAGAGUUAAACAGCACGUGAAAUUGUUGAAAGGGAAGCGCUUGCGACCAGACUUGCGCCCGUCGGAUCAACCGUCCCUCGUGGGCGGCGCACUCCGGCGGGCUCAGGCCAGCAUCAGUUUUCCCGGGGGGAGAAAGGCGGUGGGAAUGUGGCUCUUCGGAGUGUUAUAGCCCUCCGCGUAAUGCCCCCGGGGGGACUGAGGACCGCGCGUAAGCAAGGAUGCUGGCGUAAUGGUCGUCAGCGACCCGUCUUGAAACACGGACCAAGGAGUCGUCCUAAUAUGCGAGUGUACGGGUGUAAAACCCCUGCGCGUAAUGAAAGUGAACGGAGGUGAGAGCUUCGGCGCAUCAUCGACCGAUCCUGAUGUUCUCGGAUGGAUUUGAGUAAGAGCAUAUUGGGCCGGACCCGAAAGAAGGUGAACUAUGCCUGUAUAGGGUGAAGCCAGAGGAAACUCUGGUGGAGGCUCGCAGCGGUUCUGACGUGCAAAUCGAUCGUCAAAUAUGGGCAUGGGGGCG